This 30-nucleotide non-coding RNA is filed under the name Rattus norvegicus (Norway rat). Lineage: Eukaryota; Metazoa; Chordata; Mammalia; Rodentia; Muridae. The record is from RNAcentral.
UGGAGGAAAAUUUUACCUUUGUCUAUUUUA